GCUUCAUAAAGUACAUACAUACCGAUUUGUCGUUGGUUUUGGUGGAGCUACAUGUACUUAAGUCGGCUUUUAUCCAACCAUUUUUAUGCCCCACCUACGAUAGUAGAGGGGCAUUAUGUUUUCUUGUCUGUGGCUCCGUUCGUUCGUCCGUCCGUCCGUCCGUUCGUUCGUCCGCAGGUUAAAGUUUUUGGUCAAGGUAGUUUUUGAUGAAGAUGAAGUCCAAUCAACUUGAAACUUAGUACACUUGUUGCUUAUGAUAUGAUCUCUAUAAUUUUAAAGCCAAAUUAGACUUUUGACCCC
This 300-nucleotide long non-coding RNA is filed under the name Mytilus galloprovincialis (Mediterranean mussel). Lineage: Eukaryota; Metazoa; Mollusca; Bivalvia; Mytilida; Mytilidae. The record is from RNAcentral.